Molecule: long non-coding RNA, 932 nt
Organism: Homo sapiens (human)
Lineage: Eukaryota; Metazoa; Chordata; Mammalia; Primates; Hominidae
Exons: 3
Source: RefSeq, a predicted model, not a curated record
CGCCGGGCCUUGAACCCCUAGCUGAACACACACGCAGGCAGAAACUGAUUUCCCCUAAAACAGAGUGCUGCCAAGACCCCCGAUGCUCCAGAAUGGCCAUCGGUGCCGGGCCCCACCCCCAUCCUCUCCACCGGAAUGGGCACUGGCUGGGGGCCCUGUGCUUCACAGCAUUUCACAGAACAUAAGAAGAGUUAAGUGCCCUGGAAAUGGAACUAGAGGCAGGACAGAAGCCUCAAUAAGGCCGUGGGCAGUGAGCGCCCGCCAGCAAGGAUGUGCCUCGGCAGAAGCCCCCUGGGGCAGGGACAGGGCAGGCUCAAGACAGGCCAGGUCCCGUUCUUCAGGAAGCCGUCCCAGAUUGCCAGCAUGAGCCUGUAUGCUCACUCACCUCUUCUGCUAGGCUAGGGCUGCUGUGGAAAGCUCCAAAGUGGCCCGUUUCUUCACCAGACCCUUCUGGAGAGCUGCCCACCCAGGGGCUUCACCGCAAGCGAAAUCAACACGAUGCCCAACGGGCACGUCAAUAUGUGCAAAGCACUCAAAACCGUCUUCUGUAACUGGGAGUUAGACAUGAGGGCCAGCCACAAGAGCUCCCCUGCUGAGACACAGUGAGCUCCCUCACACGCUCACUGUGAGUAUUCAAAACUCCAUUUAAACUGACAAUCCUGAAAGCUGUUUACAUAUCUGUUCUUAAAGACUAAAUCUUUAACUUUCCCAAUUCUGUCUCAUGAGCUCAAUGAAAGAAAUCUUUUAGUAAAAUGCAGAAAGUAUCCUCUUUCACACACAGGACAGACAGCACAGCUUGCAAAGACCGAUCACUUCCUCCCACCAAGACAAGCACUGGCCUGGGCUGCGCAUGCAGGGGAGGAGGCAGGGCCCUGGUGGCCCCACAGCGUGCAGGGUGGGAGGCGGGGCCCCAGGGAGAGUCCCGCUGCCUG